GACGUAGGGCGCGAGCGUUGUCCGGAUUUAUUGGGCGUAAAGAGCUCGUAGGCGGCUUGUCGCGUCGACUGUGAAAACCCGCGGCUCAACUGCGGGCCUGCAGCCGAUACGGGCAGGCUAGAGUUCGGUAGGGGAGACUGGAAUUCCCAGUGUAGCGGUGAAAUGCGUAGAUAUUGGGAAGAACACCUGAGGCGAAGGCGGGUUGCUGGGCCGACACUGACGCUGAGGCGCGAAAGCCAGGGGAGCGAACGGG
Molecule: ribosomal RNA, 253 nt
Filed under: uncultured bacterium
Lineage: Bacteria
Description: partial 16S ribosomal RNA
Rfam family: Bacterial small subunit ribosomal RNA
Source: RNAcentral